Molecule: long non-coding RNA, 919 nt
Organism: Dermacentor silvarum
Lineage: Eukaryota; Metazoa; Arthropoda; Arachnida; Ixodida; Ixodidae
Exons: 3
Source: RefSeq, a predicted model, not a curated record
GAAGCACCUUCCGCUUUUCCCCACUGUAUAAAAUGGCAGCUCGCUUUAGAUCGUCAUCGAAGCCUACGACGGGUGUGAGAAGCACGAGCAAGUCCUUUGUCUUCUUUCAUAACUGGACUGCUGCAUAUUGCCAGGUACCUCCUAACCACCAUGAAAGCCUACGUGCUCUUGGCCCUGGUCAUCUGCGGAUACAUCUGCCAAAUUCAAGCCGCUACAUUGAGCAAGCCGGAAAAAACAACGCACGCAUUAGAGAAGCUUGUGGAAGAAGAGAUCAGCAAGGCAUCCGCGAAUGGCCAAGGACACCUCGCCGAAGCUCUCAAGGCCCUGAAGAGCUCGGUUAACGGCGAAGAAACUGAAGAGGCCUACUUCUUUGGUCUACUGGCCCUUAUCCGUUUAAUUAUUAGUGCAAUUCGCGCCAGCGGUUAAAUUGCUCGUGCAGUGGCAGAGAAACAAACGUAGGUACGUUUCUCGAUGCGGUAGCUGCGUCCGUUAUAUCCUUGGUCCGUUACUGCAACUGCCGCUGGCUCCGCGGCCGGUUCUGCGGCUGGUUCUGCAGCCGCUUAUUCAGCCGGCAUCAUAAUGGUCGCUGCCGGCUCAGCUGCGGGAGGCACUGUAAAGGGAAUUGUAGGUAGCGCUGCCGCGUACCGAUUCCGGAAGGAGCAGAUAAGAUAGCUGGGGCUACCCAUUUUUCGUAGCAACACUAUAAAGGAACUGAAGCAUGCAUGGUACAAGAACGUGUGUUGCUCUGUUCCGCAUCAAAUUUGAUUCAAUUUGCUUCACAUAUUGAAUUUGCUUUAAAUUGUGGUCUUGCUCUAUGUUCUCGUGUUUUGUUGUACGCCUGCUUGGUCCUUGGACUGCAGUAUGUUUGAAAUGAAUUCAAUAAAGAAACAAAACUAUAGGUCUCAAUUUUGUUUGCUUU